RNAcentral lists this long non-coding RNA (226 nucleotides) under Orbicella faveolata. Its description in RNAcentral is "uncharacterized LOC110066810, transcript variant X1". The record is from RNAcentral. Lineage: Eukaryota; Metazoa; Cnidaria; Anthozoa; Scleractinia; Merulinidae.
AAAGCCUAAAUUACACACAACACACGCAUCUGUCAUCACUUUGCUGAUACGACAAAUUCGAGUCAUGUCAAGGAUGAGAAGUGUCCACUUCUAACCACACAGAACUAAAAGGAAAAAGAAGACAGUUGAGUUUCCUCUCGCCGCCAAUGCACCAGGUUGGUGGGAUACCUGGUCUGCACACUAUCCUAAUACAAUAGGGGACAAAACGAAGAUAUCGCUACAACAC